This is a long non-coding RNA of Pezoporus flaviventris, 1096 nucleotides long. RefSeq lists it as uncharacterized. The record is from RefSeq and is a predicted model, not a curated record. The transcript is spliced from 3 exons. Lineage: Eukaryota; Metazoa; Chordata; Aves; Psittaciformes; Psittacidae.
AUACCGAGCCUCCCUGGGAUGCGUCAGCUAUUCAUGUAUAUCCCACAGAAAUAUUUGUGAUUUACAUCAUCUAUUUUGGGGUAACUUCAGGUAAGGUCAUAGCCCUGCUUCUUAAUGAAUGGGGAGAGUCUGAAUCUACAGGCCCUGAAUUGCCCUGUGGACAUCCUACAGGUUCUUAAAGGCUGAUUGACCAACAACUUCACGUGUGUGGACUAAGGUGGUGGGAACACCUUCCUCCCAACCACCCACCUAGACUCCAGUUUUAGGGAAUGUUGCCUUAGCUGUGCUUGGUGCAUGCCAUGCUAAUGCAGAGUAAAGGGAUCUUGUUGGUGGAGGGCUGAAAUAUGCCCCCAGCACUUCCCACUUGAGGAGGUGAAGGCAGGAGUAGAAUAACAAUUGAAAAGCCCCAGGCACCUAGUUCACCCUCCUCAGCUUUGAUGGGGCAGUGGCAUUGCUCAAAGGGUAAGCUGGGUCCUGCCUGUUUAUUUUAAGCUGAAAGCCAAAAUGGUCAUGCUAGUUACUUGAAAGUUUGUUUCUGUGUUCUGCUAAUUAUCAGCCUCGGAGAGCACCCAGAACCUCUCUGGGGCCCAAAGCAUUGCGAAAACACAGAAAGGUUAAUUGAAGACAAUGGCAAAACAAGAAUCCCAGCUUUAACCUUCCUGGUCUGCCCUUGUUAUGCUAACAGCAUGGUGCCGGCAGAUUUAAUGACUCCUCAUUACCCUGCUAGCUAAUUAACCUUCUGCCCUGAAAAGCAGAAAGUCUGAAAAAGAACCUCUUGCCCAGGAACCUCCUCUUGCCAGCAGCCUGUAGGGUUAAAGGAGACAUCUCCAGUGCUGUCAGGCUCAAAUCCUGCAUGGUUUCCAAAUGAUUCCCAUUAAAUCAGUUUUCUCUCCCAGAGUUCGGGUGCGAUUCAGACCUUGUGCAUCCUCCCAGAGCGUCAUGUUUUCUCCUGAAAAGGCACCCUGUGCCUGACCCUCAUAUAACUAGGAACCUCUGAGGGGAAAAAAAAAAAAAAAAGAAGAAGAGACAUGAAUGAUUCAUAGAUGCAAGGGGGGAAAAGACGGAGGGAGAGGGGGAGAAAGAGAGAGAGAUUAAG